RNAcentral lists this ribosomal RNA (460 nucleotides) under uncultured bacterium. RNAcentral's name for it is "partial 16S ribosomal RNA". It matches the Rfam family "Bacterial small subunit ribosomal RNA", at positions 338 to 795 of the family's 1533-position model. The record is from RNAcentral.
CCUACGGGUGGCAGCAGUGAGGAAUAUUGGUCAAUGGGCGAGAGCCUGAACCAGCCAAGUCGCGUGAGGGAAGACGGUCCUAUGGAUUGUAAACCUCUUUUGCCGGGGAGCAAAAAGCGGUACGUGUACCGCAUCGAGAGUACCCGGAGAAAAAGCAUCGGCUAACUCCGUGCCAGCAGCCGCGGUAAUACGGAGGAUCCGAGCGUUAUCCGGAUUUAUUGGGUUUAAAGGGUGCGUAGGCGGUUUGAUAAGUUAGAGGUGAAAUGUCGGGGCUCAACCCCGAAACUGCCUCUAAUACUGUUGGACUAGAGAAUAGUUGCGGUAGGCGGAAUGUAUGGUGUAGCGGUGAAAUGCUUAGAGAUCAUACAGAACACCGAUUGCGAAGGCAGCUUACCAAACUAUAUCUGACGUUGAGGCACGAAAGCGUGGGUAGCAAACAGGAUUAGAUACCCCUGUAGUC